RNAcentral lists this ribosomal RNA (253 nucleotides) under uncultured bacterium. RNAcentral's name for it is "partial 16S ribosomal RNA". It matches the Rfam family "Bacterial small subunit ribosomal RNA", at positions 524 to 776 of the family's 1533-position model. The record is from RNAcentral.
UACGGGGGGGGCAAGCGUUGUUCGGAAUUACUGGGCGUAAAGGGCUCGUAGGCGGCCAACUAAGUCAGACGUGAAAUCCCUAGGCUCAACCUAGGAACUGCGUCUGAUACUGGAUGGCUUGAAUCCGGGAGAGGGAUGCAGAAUUCCAGGUGUAGCGGUGAAAUGCGUAGAUAUCAGGAGGAACACCGGUGGCGAAGGCGGUUCUCUGGGCAUUACCUGACGCUGAGGAGCGAAAGUGUGGGGAGCGAACAGG